Long non-coding RNA from Conger conger (European conger), 792 nucleotides. RefSeq lists it as uncharacterized. NCBI's taxonomy places the organism in Eukaryota, Metazoa, Chordata, Actinopteri, Anguilliformes, Congridae. The record is from RefSeq and is a predicted model, not a curated record. The transcript is spliced from 2 exons.
CAAACAUUCCAUGAUAGCCACAUCGACAGAGCUCUAGAUCUUCAUGCACAAGCUUCGCCACCGCUCAUCAGCUGCCAGAAGAAUAAGUAGUCAAAAUGGAGGAGGACGCAGUCUCUCGGAGAGGUUUUCACUGAGCUUGUGCUAUGACCUCAGCCUUCACGCACAGCGUACAAAGUUCCCGUUUGGACGGACCGCACUGAGCAUGUGCCGCGACCUUACACACAGAGACACGCUGGAAACGCGAUCCAUCUCUGCCCGUCUUCCACAUAAACAAGGCCGGUUCCCGAAGCCGCUGACGCCUCGCGCAGCAUACCAAACAAGCAGCGGAAGGAGGGGGGAGAACAGAGAGCGAGUGGGGCCCUGGUUAAGGGGACUCUUAACAUGCAACAUUCACGAGCUGCAGCAGAAAUCUCGGUAAUUUUACGGUGCACUGUGAUGUCUGUGAUUAUCUGUGCACUGUGAUUAUCUGCGAUGUAUAAAAAUAAUAAUAAAUAAUAAUAAUAACAACAACAACAACAAAUAAUAUUAAACAAAAAAUAUAUCCACAACAAAUUGUUCUAUUAUUUAAACAAUGUGGCAAUGCAAUACGUUACUCUAAAGAAUGAAAACUCAAACUCUGAAGAUGAAGGCAACAGAACAGCAGGAGAACAGAUUGCACAUCUUUCAUUUGGUAAAACAUUGGGCGAUAGUUUAAAACACAAUGCACCAGGGUUGAAAUAAAAUCAGCAUCACCAUUUCAGGCACUUUUCAUCAGCUAAAAAAUGUAUAGUAUUAAUAAACUGAAAUGGAAAA